Molecule: long non-coding RNA, 699 nt
Filed under: Coturnix japonica (Japanese quail)
Lineage: Eukaryota; Metazoa; Chordata; Aves; Galliformes; Phasianidae
Description: lncRNA (ENSCJPG00005009220.1)
Source: RNAcentral
CAGUUACUAUUCCAUCAUCUAAAUAUCUUUCUAACAGCUGUUCAUACAAGGAGUAAAACUGCAAGCUGUUGAGAUGUGCAAUAUUACUGAAGCUCAGAUGACAUGGAAUAUACCGGAUAGACUGGAUUGAUGUGCCAAGGCAAACUGUAUCUGCAACUCAACAACAUGAUAUGAUGCUGAGAUACUUUCCUCCCUGUGAAGCUCUCUGGAAAACUGAGAAAUUCUGUUGGAAAUUUUAGAGGAGGAGGCAGGAAGGUUUCAGUAUGAAUUGCCAGGAGCUCGCUGUUCUGGAAAUCCUGAAGUCUCAGUUGAGUGCUCCAGUGCUUUGGCUUUACUUCCAGCAGUGGCAUUCAACCCUUGCAGAUGAACUGCAGACUGCUGUUCCGCUGAUUCAUCUGCACUCUUGUUGUCCAUAGUAUUCAGACUGUAGAAGUCACUCUAGCCUGGAGAAAUGAAAAAACCUGCAAGAGAAGACUGCUUUAGUCAUGUUAGUAGUUCUAUAACAGUUAGUUUCCUAAAGGAGGAAAAGAUGAUAUUACUCCCAGUGACUUUUCUUUAACAGGUAAUUCAGUAAGUUUACUGUAAAGCAGAAUAGAAAAGUAACAAGCCACAUGGCUGGGCAGAAUCCUAACUCUUGAAAGAAAGGUAAAGGAAUAGCAGCACAUGUGAAAUAUACAAUAAAGUUCUUGCUGUACUUCA